CCUACGGGUGGCUGCAGUGGGGAAUAUUGCACAAUGGGGGAAACCCUGAUGCAGCGACGCCGCGUGAGCGAGGAAGUAUUUCGGUAUGUAAAGCUCUAUCAGCAGGGACGAAAAAAGACGGUGCCUGACUCAGAAGCCCCGGCUCCCUACGUGCCCGCAGCCGCGGUAAUACGUAGGGGGGAAGCGUGAUCCGGAUUUACUGGGUGUAAAGGGAGCGUAGUCGGCAAGGGAAGUCAGAAGUGAAAGGGCAGGGCUCAACCCAGUACAUGAUUUUGGAACUGUGGUGCUAGAGUGCAGGAGAGGUAAGUGGAAUUCCUAGUGUAGCGGUGAAAUGCGUAGAUAUUAGGAGGAACACCAGUGGCGAAGGCGGCUUACUGGACUGUAACUGACGUUGAGGCUCGAAAGCGUGGGGAGCAAACAGGAUUAGAUACCCUAGUAGUC
This 441-nucleotide ribosomal RNA is filed under the name uncultured bacterium. Its description in RNAcentral is "partial 16S ribosomal RNA". It matches the Rfam family "Bacterial small subunit ribosomal RNA", at positions 338 to 795 of the family's 1533-position model. The record is from RNAcentral.